Molecule: ribosomal RNA, 440 nt
Filed under: uncultured bacterium
Lineage: Bacteria
Description: bacterial SSU rRNA
Rfam family: Bacterial small subunit ribosomal RNA
Source: RNAcentral
CUACGGGAGGCAGCAGUGGGGAAUCUUGCGCAAUGGGCGAAAGCCUGACGCAGCCAUGCCGCGUGAACGAUGAAGGCCUUAGGGUUGUAAAGUUCUUUUGCCCGUGACGAUGAUGACGGUAACGGGAGAAUAAGCUCCGGCUAACUUCGUGCCAGCAGCCGCGGUAAUACGAAGGGGGCUAGCGUUGUUCGGAAUUACUGGGCGUAAAGCGCGCGCAGGCGGUUUUGUAAGUUGGGGGUGAAAUCCCCGGGCUCAACCCGGGAAUGGCCUUCAAGACUGCAAGGCUCGAGGACGAGAGAGGUGAGUGGAAUUCCCAGUGUAGAGGUGAAAUUCGUAGAUAUUGGGAAGAACGCCGGUGGCGAAGGCGGCUCACUGGCUCGUUUCUGACGCUGAGGCGCGAAAGCGUGGGGAGCAAACAGGAUUAGAAACCCGUGUAGUCC